This 630-nucleotide ribosomal RNA is filed under the name uncultured soil bacterium. RNAcentral's name for it is "bacterial SSU rRNA". It matches the Rfam family "Bacterial small subunit ribosomal RNA", at positions 57 to 689 of the family's 1533-position model. The record is from RNAcentral.
GCAAGUCGAGUGCGCGGUUGUAGCAAUACAACUGGCGCACGGCGCACGGGUGCGUAACACGUGGGCAAUCUGCCCUUCGAUGGGGAAUAACUCCGGGAAACCGAAGCUAAUUCCGCAUAACAUUCCCUGGACUCCGGUUCGGGGAAUCAAAGCAGUGAUGCGUCGGAGGAGGAGCCCGCGCCCGAUUAGCUAGUUGGUAGGGUAACGGCCUACCAAGGCUAUGAUCGGUAGCUGGUCUGAGAGGAUGGCCAGCCACACUGGAACUGAGACACGGUCCAGACUCCUACGGGAGGCAGCAGUGGGGAAUCUUGCGCAAUGGGCGAAAGCCUGACGCAGCGACGCCGCGUGGGGGAUGAAGCUUCUCGGAGUGUAAACCCCUUUCGACUGGGACGAAUGCCUCGCAAGAGGAGUGACGGUACCAGUAGAAGAAGCCCCGGCUAACUACGUGCCAGCAGCCGCGGUAAGACGUAGGGGGCCAGCGUUGUUCGGAAUUACUGGGUGUAAAGGGUUCGUAGGCGGUGUGGCAAGUCGGGAGUGAAAUUUCUGGGCUUAACCCAGAAGCUGCUUCCGAAACUGCUGUGCUCGAGUGUGGGAGAGGCGCGUGGAAUUGCAGGUGUAGCGGUGAAAUGC